GAGUUUGAUCAUGGCUCAGGACGAACGCUGGCGGCGCGCUUAACACAUGCAAGUCGAACGGGCUUCGGAAGGGGGGUCAGUGGCGAACGGGUGCGUAACACGUGAGCAACCUGCCCGGAUGCGGGGGAUAACUGGGGGAAACCCCAGCUAAUACCGCAUGGGCCUCUGGGUCUCCUGGCCUGGAGGUGAAAGGGGCUUCGGCCUUGUGUCCGGAGGGGCUCGCGGCGUAUCAGGUAGUUGGUAGGGUAAUGGCCUACCAAGCCGAUGACGCGUAGGGGGUCUGAGAGGAUGGCCCCCCACAUUGGGACUGAGAUACGGCCCAGGCUCCUACGGGAGGCAGCAGUGGGGAAUCUUGCGCAAUGGCCGAAAGGCUGACGCAGCGACGCCGCGUGCGGGAGGACGCCCUUCGGGGUGUAAACCGCUGUCAGUGGGGACGAACCCCCCAGGGAGGUAAUGCCCUGGGGCUGACGGUACCCGCAGAGGAAGCACCGGCUAACUCCGUGCCAGCAGCCGCGGUAAUACAAGGG
Molecule: ribosomal RNA, 527 nt
Filed under: uncultured bacterium
Lineage: Bacteria
Description: bacterial SSU rRNA
Rfam family: Bacterial small subunit ribosomal RNA
Source: RNAcentral